GAUCAUGGCUCAGGACGAACGCUGGACGGCGUGCCUAACACAUGCAAGUCGAGCGAGGAGAUCCUUCGGGAUGAUCCUAGCGGCGGACGGGUGAGUAACACGUGGGCAACCUGCCUCAUAGAGAGGAAUAGCCUUCCGAAAGGGAGAUUAAUACCUCAUAACAUUGCAGUUUCGCAUGGAACAGCAAUUAAAGGAGUAAUCCGCUAUGAGAUGGGCCCGCGGCGCAUUAGCUAGUUGGUGAGGUAACGGCUCACCAAGGCGACGAUGCGUAGCCGACCUGAGAGGGUGAUCGGCCACAUUGGGACUGAGACACGGCCCAGACUCCUACGGGAGGCAGCAGUGGGGAAUAUUGCACAAUGGGGGAAACCCUGAUGCAAGCAACGCCGCGUGAGUGAUGACGGCCUUCGGGUUGUAAAGCUCUGUCUUCAGGGACGAUAAUGACGGUACCUGAGGAGGAAGCCACGGCUAACUACGUGCCAGCAGCGGC
Molecule: ribosomal RNA, 487 nt
Filed under: uncultured bacterium
Lineage: Bacteria
Description: bacterial SSU rRNA
Rfam family: Bacterial small subunit ribosomal RNA
Source: RNAcentral